Molecule: ribosomal RNA, 233 nt
Filed under: uncultured bacterium
Lineage: Bacteria
Description: partial 16S ribosomal RNA
Rfam family: Bacterial small subunit ribosomal RNA
Source: RNAcentral
UCCACGCUGUAAACGAUGAUCACUCGAUAUUGGCAACACACAGCCAGUGUCCAAGAGAAAUUGAUAAGUGAUCCACCUGGGGAGUACGAUCGCAAGGUUGAAACUCAAAGGAAUUGACGGGGGCCCGCACAAGCGGUGGAGCAUGUGGUUUAAUUCGAUAAUACGCGAGGAACCUUACCAGGGCUUAAAUGCAGGACGACCUCCCGGGAAACCGGGAUUUCUUCGGACGGCUU